This 375-nucleotide ribosomal RNA is filed under the name uncultured organism. Its description in RNAcentral is "partial 16S ribosomal RNA". It matches the Rfam family "Bacterial small subunit ribosomal RNA", at positions 527 to 896 of the family's 1533-position model. The record is from RNAcentral.
GUAGGUGGCAAGCGUUGUCCGGAAUUAUUGGGCGUAAAGCGCGCGCAGGCGGUCCUUUAAGUCUGGUGUGAAAGCCCACGGCUCAACCGUGGAGGGUCAUUGGAAACUGGGGGACUUGAGUACAGAAGAGGAAAGCGGAAUUCCAAGUGUAGCGGUGAAAUGCGUAGAGAUUUGGAGGAACACCAGUGGCGAAGGCGGCUUUCUGGUCUGUAACUGACGCUGAGGCGCGAAAGCGUGGGGAGCAAACAGGAUUAGAUACCCUGGUAGUCCACGCCGUAAACGAUGAGUGCUAAGUGUUAGGGGGUUUCCCGCCCCCCUUAGUGCUGCAGCUAACGCAUUAAGCACUCCGCCUGGGGGAGUACGGCCGCAAGGCUG